Molecule: ribosomal RNA, 254 nt
Filed under: uncultured bacterium
Lineage: Bacteria
Description: partial 16S ribosomal RNA
Rfam family: Bacterial small subunit ribosomal RNA
Source: RNAcentral
UACGAAGGGGGCUAGCGUUGCUCGGAAUUACUGGGCGUAAAGCGCACGUAGGCGGCUUUCUAAGUCGGGGGUGAAAUCCUGGAGCUCAACUCCAGAACUGCCUUCGAUACUGGAGAGCUCGAGUCCGGGAGAGGUGAGUGGAACUGCGAGUGUAGAGGUGAAAUUCGUAGGAUAUUCGCAAGAACACCAGUGGCGAAGGCGGCUCACUGGCCCGGUACUGACGCUGAGGUGCGAAAGCGUGGGGAGCAAACAGG